Molecule: transfer RNA, 73 nt
Filed under: Kiritimatiellia bacterium
Lineage: Bacteria; Pseudomonadati; Kiritimatiellota; Kiritimatiellia
Description: Kiritimatiellae bacterium (aquatic metagenome) tRNA-Thr
Rfam family: tRNA
About the family: Transfer RNA (tRNA) molecules are approximately 80 nucleotides in length. Their secondary structure includes four short double-helical elements and three loops (D, anti-codon, and T loops).
Source: RNAcentral
GCCAGCUUAGCUCAGUUGGCAGAGCAGCUGAUUUGUAAUCAGCAGGUCCUCGGUUCGAACCCGAGAGCUGGCU